GAUGAACGCUGGCGGCGUGCUUAACACAUGCAAGUCGAACGGUGAAAGAGAGCUUGCUCUCUGGAUCAGUGGCGAACGGGUGAGUAACGCGUGAGCAAUCUGCCCCUGACUCUGGGAUAAGCGCUGGAAACGGCGUCUAAUACCGGAUACGAGCUGCGAAGGCAUCUUCAGCAGCUGGAAAGAACUUCGGUCAGGGAUGAGCUCGCGGCCUAUCAGCUAGUUGGUGAGGUAACGGCUCACCAAGGCGUCGACGGGUAGCCGGCCUGAGAGGGUGACCGGCCACACUGGGACUGAGACACGGCCCAGACUCCUACGGGAGGCAGCAGUGGGGAAUAUUGCACAAUGGGCGAAAGCCUGAUGCAGCAACGCCGCGUGAGGGACGACGGCCUUCGGGUUGUAAACCUCUUUUAGCAGGGAAGAAGCGAAAGUGACGGUACCUGCAGAAAAAGCACCGGCUAACUACGUG
This 466-nucleotide ribosomal RNA is filed under the name uncultured bacterium. RNAcentral's name for it is "partial 16S ribosomal RNA". It matches the Rfam family "Bacterial small subunit ribosomal RNA", at positions 28 to 507 of the family's 1533-position model. The record is from RNAcentral.